Etheostoma cragini (Arkansas darter) is the source of this 137-nucleotide long non-coding RNA. RefSeq lists it as uncharacterized. Lineage: Eukaryota; Metazoa; Chordata; Actinopteri; Perciformes; Percidae. The record is from RefSeq and is a predicted model, not a curated record. The transcript has 3 exons.
GGUUUUGAAAUAAAAAAAAGAAUCCUCUUCAUCUGAGACCGAGACAAGAUCGAGUAAAAAUGUGGUAGAUUCCGAGAAGAGACCUCCAAAAAGUGGUCUUGAGACCAAGACUGAUCUCGAGUACUACAACACUGGUA